Long non-coding RNA from Toxorhynchites rutilus septentrionalis, 753 nucleotides. RefSeq lists it as uncharacterized. The record is from RefSeq and is a predicted model, not a curated record. NCBI's taxonomy places the organism in Eukaryota, Metazoa, Arthropoda, Insecta, Diptera, Culicidae. The transcript has 2 exons.
AGCCCUUAAUGAGAUUGAAUUCAUGUGACGUUUACCGCCACACGCGCUAGAGAUAGACAAUCAGCUGUGUUUCAUUUUGUUCUCCUCUUUGUGGGAGUUGCUCGUGCUAAGUGUGUUUUCAUUUGUUUACGAUGAAGGUCUCGGAACAGAGUUGUCUCAGAGAGCGCGUCUCUCGGAUGCUUGGACAGCAUCCGAAAUCUGAGGUGACUAGACGAAAGAAUGUUCGCCAAAAAUGCCACGUUUAGUGUCAAUCAUCGACCAGGGAGACGACUCCACCACCUGUUUCCUACCUAUCAGAUUCAACAACUCAUGAGCCAGGACAACAGCUUUACUUCCUUUCCGAAGGAAGAGGUAAACAGAGAUUUUUCAUCUCAGGUCGCACGGGUUGGGAAGCAACGACUGACGCCGUCAUAAAAUGAUGAAGAUAUUUUGUUCUGUCCGGACCUAGCUUCGUGCCUUUACGCAUAGGCCUUUCCGGAUUGGUUUGUACGUAAAGAAGAUAAUCUCCCAAACGUACCUCAGAUGUGGCCAAUCGAGUCGUAUUGGGCCAUACUGUCCCAGUAAGUGUACGAAAAUCGUAAGACAAAAGAGGACCUCAUGGUGGUCCAGACCAUGAUCGCGAGUGUUUAGGGAAUUUCGAGGAAGAUUGAAGACGAAGGGCCACUAUCUGUCUAAUUAUUUGAAUAAAACGCACAUUGUACGGACAUGCGAAAAUGCAAUAAUGAAUUGAAUUUAAAUAAACUUUUCACCGAA